Molecule: long non-coding RNA, 1299 nt
Organism: Brassica napus (rape)
Lineage: Eukaryota; Viridiplantae; Streptophyta; Magnoliopsida; Brassicales; Brassicaceae
Exons: 2
Source: RefSeq, a predicted model, not a curated record
UCAUUGUAACUAAAUAGUAGGCCUGAGAUUCUUCGGCAUAAACGUUUGGUUCUUAUGCGAUAAGUGAUUUUUUACUUAAAAUAUUUUAAAAAAUGAGAUAAGCUCAUCAGUAAACAAAUUAUGUAAUUAACAAAAAAAUUAAAAAAAAUUUUUUAAUGGCCAAAAAUAUUAAUUCGUUCAAAAAUAUAAAUUUUAUUUUUUCAUACCACAUUUUUUAAACAAUUUUUAUAGAAAUGGACAUCCUAGUCUAUAAAUAUUGUUAGAAACGAAGGGCACCUCCAAAACGGGCAUUCUGUUUUAAUAGGAUAGUUAUUCUACCUUGAGAUGUUCACUCAUUGGUGAUCGAAUAGUCUCUCAUCACCAGAUCGAUCUUUGUCGUCUGUUGGUGACGCCGGCUCUGCAUCAUCUUCGUUCUUAUCCUUUCUUCUCGAUCAAGUUUCUGGAUCUGUACCAUUGCUUCGUCUGUUCUCAGCAAUAUGCGAUCUCCUUUUGUAUUUCACAUUAAACUAGAUUGAUCCUGUAAACGUGAUCCAAGUCAGUAACAAUCGUUUUUUGCGAUCUGUUCCAGUCCGAUCAAGAGGUUUGCUUUAAGGAACACAAAAGCAGAGCAUCACUUAUAGAUCUCUGUCUCGACACUAAUUUGGUGUCUCUGUGAUCAAGCUCAUACGGCUUUGAUUGCCUCGGCUAUGCUUUUGUUCCACUCUGAAACCGAGAUCGCGUAUUGGUAGCUCUUCAGAUCGGUGGAUUCGUGAUCAGGUCAAGCACCGGAGAUUCUUUCUAUUCCGGUUCGUCGUUGCGUACUGGAUUCGAUCUGGUCCCCUGUUCUCUUUUCUUGUUUCACUACAGACAAAGGAUCAUAGGUUUCAGUACUGAGAUCGUUACUUCCAAACUCUUGUGCCUGCGAUUCAAGAAACAUUGACACCCCCCUUCACCAUUCAUUGUCUAAAGCUCUUUGGCUUUAAUCGAUCUGUACCUGCGAUCGUGUUGACGUCAAAUGCUUCUCUCCAAGCGAUGCUUUAGCUGACUUCAUUACAAGAGUGGAAAUCGGUGUUUAACAGAAUCUCCCUUCAUUCAGGAUUUGGCCACUUUACCGACAUAAAGAAUUCCCUUGAUUCUACAAUAAAAAUAAUUCAUUUGAAUUAUUAUGCAAGAUAAUUAAAGAUUUCAUUGGAUUUUUUUUUUUUAAAAAAGAGAAAUCAAUCCAUGGAUCAUUCAUAUUUUUCUGAUAUGCGAGUGAUGCGAACCUGUAAACCAUCUGGUCUUCAUCGAUGAAAAUAUUAAGCCGGAACUAUCGAGAGA